RNAcentral lists this long non-coding RNA (724 nucleotides) under Chinchilla lanigera (long-tailed chinchilla). Its description in RNAcentral is "lncRNA (ENSCLAG00000023453.1)". The record is from RNAcentral. Lineage: Eukaryota; Metazoa; Chordata; Mammalia; Rodentia; Chinchillidae.
GAUUAAGCGGACGGCUCCCUCUCUUUUGGAGGGCUCCUGCAUGCAGAAGGAAUCACACUUGUGUGUGGCCCUGCACCAGAUGCCUCAAGCAUCGACUUUCAAGGGGAGCUCUUUGUCAGACCCAUUGUACAGGUGAGGACACCGAGACUUGGAAGAUGGGCAAUUUCCUGAGGCUGCGCAGCUAUGGGGAACAGGGCAUGAGAGGACCAACCAGCCUGACGCUGCGGCCCGUAGUGACACGGUGCAGCCAUUGGAAGAUAUGCAGUUUUACAACCUUGAGGCUCACCGCUGUCUCUCUGGUGGCUUCUGUCAUCCAGCCCCGGUCACCGCACCCAACCACAGGACGCUGGGACACAUGGCUUUGGUUACAACCUCUCACGCCUGUGCAGGGUCUGCUGUAGCUGGCUAGUGUGGGUCGCUGGAUCCAAUUAUUAAGCCUUCUGGAGUCUUAUAAGCCAGCAUCAUUAAAAAUCAAGUAAGCUUACAAUUAGAUUAGAUUUAAAAAGACAAUAAGUAUUCAAAACUCACCACUUCCUAAUCAUUUCCCUACAUUUUGUAUUAUUUAUGCUCUCGGGGGCAUUCACAUUUAUUGUGUCUGUGUGGUGGAAACUCUGCGUUCGGUGACUUCACACGAGUUGCUUGGAAUUGGCUGUGGCGGGAAGUAGUUACACCACAGAAACUGGCAGGCUCCACAAGUCAGGACUCACCUAGCUCAAGAGCUCAU